Molecule: ribosomal RNA, 419 nt
Filed under: bacterium
Lineage: Bacteria
Description: partial 16S ribosomal RNA
Rfam family: Bacterial small subunit ribosomal RNA
Source: RNAcentral
UGGGGGAUAUUGCACAAUGGGCGAAAGCCUGAUGCAGCGACGCCGCGUGGGGGAUGAAGGCCUUCGGGUUGUAAACUUCUUUUGCUCUGAACAAGGCGCACCAUGGGGUGUGUAGAGUGUAGGGGUUGAUUAGCGCCGGCUAACUACGUGCCAGCAGCCGCGGUAAUACGUAGGGCGCGAGCGUUGUCCGGAAUUAUUGGGCGUAAAGGGCUUGUAGGUGGCUGGUUGCGUCUGUCGUGAAAGCUCAUGGCUUAACUGUGGGUUUGCGGUGGGUACGGGCUGGCUUGAGUGCAGUAGGGGAGGCUGGAAUUCCUGGUGUAGCGGUGGAAUGCGCAGAUAUCAGGAGGAAUACCGGUGGCGAAGGCGGGUCUCUGGGCUGUUACUGACACUGAGGAGCGAAAGCAUGGGGAGCGAACAGG